GCGAAUGGAUUAAGAGCUUGCUCUUAUGAAGUUAGCGGCGGACGGGUGAGUAACACGUGGGUAACCUGCCCAUAAGACUGGGAUAACUCCGGGAAACCGGGGCUAAUACCGGAUAACAUUUUGAACCGCAUGGUUCGAAAUUGAAAGGCGGCUUCGGCUGUCACUUAUGGAUGGACCCGCGUCGCAUUAGCUAGUUGGUGAGGUAACGGCUCACCAAGGCAACGAUGCGUAGCCGACCUGAGAGGGUGAUCGGCCACACUGGGACUGAGACACGGCCCAGACUCCUACGGGAGGCAGCAGUAGGGAAUCUUCCGCAAUGGACGAAAGUCUGACGGAGCAACGCCGCGUGAGUGAUGAAGGCUUUCGGGUCGUAAAACUCUGUUGUUAGGGAAGAACAAGUGCUAGUUGAAUAAGCUGGCACCUUGACGGUACCUAACCAGAAAGCCACGGCUAACUACGUGCCAGCAGCCGCGGUAAUACGUAGGUGGCAAGCGUUAUCCGGAAUUAUUGGGCGUAAAGCGCGCGCAGGUGGUUUCUUAAGUCUGAUGUGAAAGCCCACGGCUCAACCGUGGAGGGUCAUUGGAAA
This 586-nucleotide ribosomal RNA is filed under the name Bacillus sp. CH463b_14D. RNAcentral describes it as "bacterial SSU rRNA". It matches the Rfam family "Bacterial small subunit ribosomal RNA", at positions 66 to 632 of the family's 1533-position model. The record is from RNAcentral. Lineage: Bacteria; Bacillati; Bacillota; Bacilli; Caryophanales; Bacillaceae.